UACGUAGGGUGCAAGCGUUAAUCGGAAUUACUGGGCGUAAAGCGAGCGCAGGCGGUUUGUUAAGCCAGAUGUGAAAUCCCCGGGCUCAACCUGGGAACUGCGUCCGAUACUGGCAGGCUUGAAUCCGGGAGAGGGAUGCGGAAUUCCAGGUGUAGCGGUGAAAUGCGUAGAUAUCUGGAGGAACACCGGUGGCGAAGGCGGCAUCCUGGACCGGCAUUGACGCUGAGGCGCGAAAGCCAGGGGAGCAAACGGG
This 253-nucleotide ribosomal RNA is filed under the name uncultured bacterium. RNAcentral's name for it is "partial 16S ribosomal RNA". It matches the Rfam family "Bacterial small subunit ribosomal RNA", at positions 524 to 776 of the family's 1533-position model. The record is from RNAcentral.